This 568-nucleotide unclassified non-coding RNA is filed under the name Hevea brasiliensis (rubber tree). The record is from RNAcentral. Lineage: Eukaryota; Viridiplantae; Streptophyta; Magnoliopsida; Malpighiales; Euphorbiaceae.
GUUUUUGCGACCUCAGAGCAGCAUCAGCAGCAAUGGCGCCGGCAAAGAAGACGAAGAAGACGACGGAGAACAUCAACAACAAGCUUGCUCUGGUGAUGAAGAGCGGCAAGUUCACGCUCGGCUACAAGACCGUCCUCAAGUCCCUCAGGAGCUCCAAAGGUAAGUUGGUAAUUAUUGCCAACAACUGCCCACCGCUGCGCAAGAGUGAGAUCGAGUACUAUGCUAUGUUGUCGAAAAUUGUAGUGCACCAUUUCAAUGGGAAUAAUGUUGAUCUGGGAACUGCUUGCGGGAAGUACUACAGGGUCUGCUGCCUUAGUAUCAGUGAUCCAGGUGAUUCUGACAUCAUCAAGAGUCUCCCAGGGGACCAGUGAGACCUCGAGAGCCAGAACUGUAGCGAGAAUUUGUGAGCUAGAAUUGUGCUGUUGGUAGGCUUGUGAUUUCUUGUCCGAGAACUGUUUUUGGGUAGACUUUUAAUGAGUCUGUUUAAGAUAUUAAAUUGUGGUCAGUGAGGACUUCUAAAAAUGUUUGAAUGAUUUGCCAGUAUUUGAAGUUUCUCUGUUGUAUUCUG